GUCGAGAAUCUUUCACAAUGGGGGCAACCCUGAUGGAGCGACGCCGCGUGGAGGAUAAGGUCUUCGGAUUGUAAACUCCUGUCAUGCGUGAACAAGGUUGCUUGGUUAAUACCUGGGCAAAUUGAUGGUAACGCAAGAGGAAGAGACGGCUAACUCUGUGCCAGCAGCCGCGGUAAUACAGAGGUCUCAAGCGUUGUUCGGAAUCACUGGGCGUAAAGGGUGCGUAGGUGGCGUGGUAAGUCAGAUGUGAAAGCCCGGGGCUCAACCUCGGAACUGCAUCCGAUACUGCCAUGCUAGAGUACUGGAGAGGUGACUAGAAUUCUCGGUGUAGCAGUGAAAUGCGUAGAUAUCGAGAGGAAUACCAAAGGCGUAGGCAGGUCACUGGACAGUUACUGACACUGAGGCACGAAGGCCAGGGGAGCGAACGGGAUUAGAUACCCUUGUAGUUC
This 449-nucleotide ribosomal RNA is filed under the name uncultured bacterium. RNAcentral's name for it is "partial 16S ribosomal RNA". It matches the Rfam family "Bacterial small subunit ribosomal RNA", at positions 354 to 796 of the family's 1533-position model. The record is from RNAcentral.